UACGUAGGGGGCUAGCGUUGUCCGGAUUUAUUGGGCGUAAAGAGCGUGUAGGCGGCCAGGUAGGUCUGGUGUGAAAACUCGAGGCUUAACCUUGAGAUGUCAUCGGAAACCAUUUGGCUAGAGUCCGGAAGAGGAAAGUGGAAUUCCUGGUGUAGCGGUGAAAUGCGCAGAUAUCAGGAAGAACACCAAUGGCGAAAGCACUCUGCUGGGCCGACACUGACACUGAGAGACGAAAGCUAGGGGAGCGAAUGGG
RNAcentral lists this ribosomal RNA (253 nucleotides) under uncultured bacterium. RNAcentral's name for it is "partial 16S ribosomal RNA". It matches the Rfam family "Bacterial small subunit ribosomal RNA", at positions 524 to 776 of the family's 1533-position model. The record is from RNAcentral.